GAUGAACGCUGGCGGCGUGCCUAAUACAUGCAAGUCGAGCGAACAGACGAGGAGCUUGCUCCUUUGACGUUAGCGGCGGACGGGUGAGUAACACGUAGGUAACCUACCUAUAAGACUGGGAUAACUUCGGGAAACCGGAGCUAAUACCGGAUAAUAUUUCGAACCGCAUGGUUCGAUAGUGAAAGAUGGCUUUGCUAUCACUUAUAGAUGGACCUGCGCCGUAUUAGCUAGUUGGUAAGGUAACGGCUUACCAAGGCAACGAUACGUAGCCGACCUGAGAGGGUGAUCGGCCACACUGGAACUGAGACACGGUCCAGACUCCUACGGGAGGCAGCAGUAGGGAAUCUUCCGCAAUGGGCGAAAGCCUGACGGAGCAACGCCGCGUGAGUGAUGAAGGUCUUCGGAUCGUAAAACUCUGUUAUUAGGGAAGAACAAACGUGUAAGUAACUGUGCACGUCUUGACGGUACCUAAUCAGAAAGCAACGGCUAACUACGUG
RNAcentral lists this ribosomal RNA (497 nucleotides) under uncultured bacterium. Its description in RNAcentral is "partial 16S ribosomal RNA". It matches the Rfam family "Bacterial small subunit ribosomal RNA", at positions 28 to 507 of the family's 1533-position model. The record is from RNAcentral.